UCGAGAAUCUUCGUCAAUGGGGGAAACCCUGAACGAGCGACGCCGCGUGUGGGAUGAAGGCCUUUGGGUUGUAAACCACUGUCAGGGGGGAUGAAACCGCAAGGUUGACAGAGCCCCAGAGGAAGCACGGGCUAAGUUCGUGCCAGCAGCCGCGGUAAUACGAACUGUGCGAACGUUAUUCGGAAUCACUGGGCUUACAGGGUGCGUAGGUGGCCGGACAAGUCAGGUGUGAAAUCCCUCAGCUCAACUGAGGAACUGCGCUUGAAACUGUUUGGCUAGAGUGAGCUAGGGGUGCUUGGAACUGCCAGUGGAGCGGUGAAAUGUGUUGAUAUUGGCAGGAACACCGGAGCCGAAAGGGAAGCACUGGGGCUUAACUGACACUGAGGCACGAAAGCCAGGGGAGCAAACGGG
Molecule: ribosomal RNA, 411 nt
Filed under: uncultured bacterium
Lineage: Bacteria
Description: bacterial SSU rRNA
Rfam family: Bacterial small subunit ribosomal RNA
Source: RNAcentral